AUGCAGAGGGUGCAGGCAGCGGGGGGAGUCCGAGCCAUCCUGCCCCUCGCUGGCUUCACCCAGCGGCCCCCAGCCCCCCGUGGCGGAGCAGGAACUCGGACACUUCCCCGAGCCGGGGACCCCCAGGUCCACUCGACGUGCCUCAGUUUCCCUUUUUUGUGCCUCCGAGGGUCCCCCUCCAUGGGACCCGAUUCCCUCUCAUUCCCAGUGGGAUCGAUUUCCCUGGGGUUUCAGCCGCCCGCCGCCCCCCUGGCUCUCCCGGGGACCCCUCCCCGCCGCUUACCCCAGCACGGAGCCGUCGGUGGGAGCGCCGGGACGGGGCCUGCGGGAGCCGCGGCCGCUGCGCUUUUAUGCUGCUGGAUUGAGGAAGUUUGGAGGCAGCCGGAAAAUUUUGGCAGGCAUCGGGUUUGGAUGGGCUGGAGGGAAGGAGGGGACGGGGAGGGGGGACGCGGGGGCUGCCCCCGGCUUCACGUGGUGCUGUGGGACGAGCUGAGUCAGCCCCGGCGCGGGGCUGGCGGCGGGUCCUGCCCGGGGCAUCCUCCUGGCCCCGGGUCGUUCUCCUGGCCCUGGAAGGUUCUCCUGGCCCUGGAAGGUUCUCCUGGCCCUGGAAGGUUCUCCUGGCCCCGGGUCGUUCUCAUGGCCCUGGAAGGUUCUCCUGUCCCAGGAAGGUCCUCCUGUCCCCGAGAUAUCCUCCUGUCCCAGGAAGGUUCUCCUGUCCCUGGGACGUUCUCCUGUCGCAGGAAGGUUCUCCUGGCCCCGGGACAUUCUCCUGUCCCUGGGUCGUUCUCCUGGCCUCGGGAUGUUCUCCUGUCCCUGGAAGGUUCUCCUGGCCCCGGGACAUUCUCCUGGCCCCGGGACGUUCUCCUAGCCCUGGGUUGUUCUCCUGUCCCUGGAAGGUUCUCCUGGCCCCGGGACGUUCUCCUGUCGCAGGAAGGUUCUCCUGUCCCCGGGACGUUCUCCUGGCCCCGGGACGUUCUCCUGUCGCAGGAAGGUUCUCCUGUCCCCGGGACGUUCUCCUGGCCCCGGGACGUUCUCCUGUCGCAGGAAGGUUCUCCUGGCCCCGGGACAUUCUCCCGUCCCUGCGAUGUUCCCCCACCCCAUCAUCCUUCCCUGGGGACACCCCCCUGCUCCAAAGACCUCCUCCUGCCCCAGGAGCACCCUCUUGUCCCAGCAUCUCACCUUGGGGACAUCCUGCUGCCCUGGGGACAUUCUCUUGUCCCAGCAUCCCACCUUGGGGACAUCCUGCUGCCCUGGGGACAUUCUCUUGUCCCAGCAUCCCACCUUGGGGACAUCCUGCUGCCCUGGAGACAUUCUCUUGUCCCAGCAUCCCACCCUGGGGACAUCCUGCUGCCCUGGAGACAUUCUCUUGUCCCAGCAUCCCACCCUGGGGACGUCCUGCUGGCCUGA
RNAcentral lists this long non-coding RNA (1407 nucleotides) under Corvus moneduloides (New Caledonian crow). RNAcentral's name for it is "lncRNA (ENSCMUG00000020278.1)". The record is from RNAcentral. Lineage: Eukaryota; Metazoa; Chordata; Aves; Passeriformes; Corvidae.